This is a long non-coding RNA of Gallus gallus (chicken), 2729 nucleotides long. NCBI's taxonomy places the organism in Eukaryota, Metazoa, Chordata, Aves, Galliformes, Phasianidae. The record is from Ensembl.
CAUUUUGUCAAGCAAUUUCUUCUUCCAUCUCAACAAAACACCAUUGCUGAGUGAAUACCAUAGCAUGCAGUUAUAAAGGCAUGGUUGUGCCAGGCAUGUUGCAAAAUGGAUAGAAGAAAAAACCUUUGGUGCAAAAGACAGCUUAAGGACAGUUCUUUGAAAUUUGACUGGAUUUGUGUUUCUGAACUCAGGAAUAUACCCUCCUGGUACUGGGAAUGGCUGAGUCACUGUAGGCAAUGGACUUCAGAGGAAGAGACCAAACAGAAAAUCUGAACUGUCCGAUAUCUUCCAACCGCCUCUGCCUCUUUAAGUCACAAGUCCAAAUCAGUGACCAAAAGUUUACACAAAGAUUAUUCACUUUUUGGAUGUUUUCCCUACAGCCAAAGAUGCAUGUCUGUCAAACUGUGCUAUUGUGCUCUUUGUAGCAGUUGUAGUUUCCGUGGAAACCAGUAGGAGGCAUUACUUUCGGAGCAACCCAUGUAGAAAGUAUGCCAUGUGUAUUCCAGUUAGUGUCGGUGAACUGUGAAUGUAUUACCACUGUUUAUGUCUACUAAUAAUGUGUUGUAAUUAGCAAUAAAGUGUCUUCUGCAGAGGGUACAGGUGGGAUGUGCCUGACUGUGCUUGAAGAAAAUGGUACUUAGUUAUAUUACCCAAUAAAACAAUUUCAAGUUCCGUCCUCUGAACAGGGUAGAUCUGUUGUGUUAUCAUGUUGUCAGGAUGUGUAUAUGGUUUCAUUUAUUUUCUUUAUGGAAUCUGAAAGUCGUGCCUGUGUUUGCUGUUGUGGAUUAGUUUCUGCAUAGAUGUUUAGUGGAUUUGUUGAGUUCUCAUCGGCAGCAAUAAAAAUUAAUAUUGGAGUCAGUGGAAUGCAAAGUAAGGACCUGCAAAACAGUGACUAGAUGCAUUCAAACAGACUGGAAGAUGUUUGACUGAUGUGAGCUGUGACGGGAGGGCAGUGGUGGGAAAAAAGCCGUCAUUUUCCAGGAUAAUAAACCGGAGAAAAAAAUUAGGGAAUAGAAUUGUUCAUUGCAAAAUAAGAACCGUGUGUCUUCUGGAUUAGUUAUCCUCAGUGUUACAGUAUGGUUUCACAUAAAGUUUGUGAUAAAACUAUGCCUGUAGGAGGAAUUUGAGUGUUUUUAGUCCCAUAUGCAUGUAAAAUCUGUUUGAUUAAGAUUGAAAUGUGUAUGCAAAAGCCUGAUAAAUGAGAGUGCCAUGUGGCUGGAGGGAAUUAAGAAGGACAGCAUCAGGGAAGAACAGUAUAAAAAGGGAAAAGCAAAAUGGAUAGUACUGAAAUGAAUAACAUUGUGCCUUGAAGAAGUAAAAAAGCUGAAAAAUUCACUGAAGGAGCUCUCAAAAGCGUAUUAUGUUGUAAUAUUCCUUCGAGGCAGACAGGAAAAAAUAGGGUUUGAAAUUGCAACAGUCAGGCUUAGCAAGUGUUUCUUGGAAUAUGCAAUAUUUAUAUUAUCAGUGAGUAUGUGAUGAUUAGGAAGGUAUUUUCAAUACACUCUUAUAUUAACCCCUUCAUGAUCUUUUCAAAUCGAUGGAUAAAUGGUCACAGAAUAAUUGAAAGACUUGUCUGUGAGUCCUGAAAAUAGAAGUGAAGGAGCAGCAAGGUCAGGUGCUGUGACUUGCCUUGAACUCUCUUCUAGAGUUUGCCAUCCCCCGGGCAUCUGUAAGGCAAACAGUUCGGACUUUAUAACAUUGAGGGUAGCUAUUUUUACAAAUCACUAACUAGAGUUCCUAGAAUUCUCUUUACAUUUUUUAUAUGGGAGGAUUUCUUUUAUCUGUUUCUAAUCAAGUAGUGAUGGCCUGUCAGCUGAAUGCUGGAAUAACUGCAUUAAGUAUGUGAACUGCCAUACCUAUUCCCACAUUCUAUUGAAUAAAUAUUUCCAAAGUCUGCCCAAGGUAUUGAUGAAUGUAGUCACACCUGGUAUUUUGAAAUACACUUCAUGUAAUGUCUUUAGUGUAGAAUUACAACUGUAAGGCCAAUGCAGAAGUGAGACUAAACUGCUGUGUAAUUCACACCUCUUUCUGCCCUGCACAUUAUGCCCUUCGGCUCAGAGCUGGUUUAGGUGUGGAGAAUUUGAAGUCUGUGCUCUGUGUUGUGAUGCAUGUUUGAAAAUGUGUACAAAUCAAAGAAACCUGGAAAUUACCCAAGAAGACCAUGUAAGCACCGAUACUGCUGAGGUUAUUUUUCACUUCUAACUUUCUUCUUUAUUAAAAAAAACAAAAACAUGAUUCCAUUCUAAUCAGUUUGACUCAGUCUGUAUUCAGAAACAAUAUAUUUCAAAGUAAAUACAUUUUUAGAAUGAUUUCAUGGCUCUCCCACGUGGUUUAUUUGCUCAAAAAUGUAAUAAAAACUAUUCUCUUCUCAGCUGGAAGAGUUUUUACUGCACUCCAUGGCCUAUCACCCUUUAGUGCUAAAUUAUAACUGCAUGUUAGAGUAAAAAUAUCAGUGUUUACAUAGUACUUCUCAUUCAGAAGGAUCCAAAAGUACUUCAUAACCUUGAAAAACUAUAAUACAAACAAUGACAAGGCAUACUUUACCCCAUCAUUGAAAUGCAGGCAGGAUGCUGGACUUGAUAGAGUAAUCAUCUGCUGUGAUAUGGCAUAUCCUGUAUUCCUGCGUUGUUGUGGCUGCUCUGGGGAGUAUAUGCAUAGAAUUGGAAAUGAUGUAUUGUACUUCCUAUAUAACUCUUUAUUUGGUGUUGUUAAAAAUAAAUAUUGCAAAG